AUGAACGCUGGCGGCGUGCCUAACACAUGCAAGUCGAACGAAGCUUGACGGAUGAUUUCUUCGGAAUGAAACCAGAUAUGACUUAGUGGCGGACGGGUGAGUAACACGUGAGCAACCUGCCUUUCAGAGGGGGAUAACGGCUGGAAACGGUCGCUAAUACCGCAUGAUGUGUUCGGAUGGCAUCAUCUGAACAUCAAAGAUUUAUCGCUGAAAGAUGGGCUCGCGUCUGAUUAGAUAGUUGGUGGGGUAACGGCCUACCAAGUCUACGAUCAGUAGCCGGACUGAGAGGUUGAACGGCCACAUUGGGACUGAGAUACGGCCCAGACUCCUACGGGAGGCAGCAGUGGGGAAUAUUGCACAAUGGGGGAAACCCUGAUGCAGCAACGCCGCGUGAAGGAUGACGGUUUUCGGAUUGUAAACUUCUUUUCUUAGUGACGAAGACAGUGACGGUAGCUAAGGAAUAAGCAUCGGCUAACUACGUG
This 482-nucleotide ribosomal RNA is filed under the name uncultured bacterium. RNAcentral describes it as "partial 16S ribosomal RNA". It matches the Rfam family "Bacterial small subunit ribosomal RNA", at positions 29 to 507 of the family's 1533-position model. The record is from RNAcentral.